UACGGAGGGUGCGAGCGUUGUCCGGAAUCACUGGGCGUAAAGGGCGCGUAGGCGGCUUCUUAAGCGUGCGGUGAAAGCUCGGGGCUCAACCCCGAGUCGGCCGUGCGAACUGGGGAGCUCGAGCACUGUAGAGGCAGGUGGAAUUCCGGGUGUAGCGGUGGAAUGCGUAGAGAUCCGGAAGAACACCGGUGGCGAAGGCGGCCUGCUGGGCAGUGGCUGACGCUGAGGCGCGACAGCGUGGAGAGCAAACAGG
RNAcentral lists this ribosomal RNA (253 nucleotides) under uncultured bacterium. RNAcentral describes it as "partial 16S ribosomal RNA". It matches the Rfam family "Bacterial small subunit ribosomal RNA", at positions 524 to 776 of the family's 1533-position model. The record is from RNAcentral.